AGAAGAGGCGGAGCCUAUCUCUCAUCAGGACCAGUCUGACUGCACCUGCAUCCUUAGCUCAGAGCAUCCCUGGAGCAUCUAAGAGGAAAGCGCAGCUAGCAACCAGGGAUCGUACUGCAGGGGCAAUCGGUCAUGCACCUUCCCCUCCCCUGAUCUGGAGGUCUACAGCCGCGGCCUCGGUACUGACCGAGAUUCCCAAAGUUGUCUGACCUCUGCAAAAGUGUUUCUAUCAACAGCCUCUGAUUACAACAUGGCUGAGAUCACAAAUAUACGCCCCAGCUUUGGGGUGUGCUGGAGAGCUUCGCGUACCUACAAGGAAUACUUGCACUGGUCAGCAUCCUUCUGUGGGCCUGCAAUCCUAACCGACAAGGGCACAGAAGGCAGCUGUGCUCACACGGCUCUGAGAGCUCCCUUCACAGGCACUCCUCUGACCCAAGGAGUAACAACACACAGAACAAGCAGCAAGGCACAACUCCUUUCCUCGGAGGGGCAACUGGACAGCCUUUAACCCUUUAAAAACCAGGGACUGAUUUUCACGGGUUCUGACUUCAGCACUGCAUCAUCCAGGUAAGGCAUAUGGAUAUGAAUUCUAAGACACGUCAUACCAAGGUACAGAAUACACAAACUUAGAAUGUUACUAAAACAAUAACAGAAGGAAAAAGUCAUGCCUACCCCUCGGAGGGCCUCCCUUUGCUGAGUUAACUAAGGAGGAAGCGGCACAGUGUGCCUAGACACGCAAGACCGAGGUUCGCUCCUGAGCCCAGCUCUCCCAGCCUGCACACCCUGAGUGCUCAGUGAAGGUCCUAUGUCAGCCCAAUCUGGGAAGUCACAACUUGCCAUUGAGGGGGGCAAUAGCCUAAUCUCUGCGUGAAAGAGAGGUGAGAUGAGUGAGGGUAGGGGCACCGAUGACCAAGCCACACGUCUCCUGCCGGUUGUUAGAGAACGCAGCGGCAGACACAAAGUCUACUGUGCACCUAGAGAAAAGACUUAGUUUUUGGUUGUGCUGGGGCUGACCCAGCCUUGCCCAUGCUAGAAUGCUAGACAAGUACUCUGCUGCUAAGCUACCUCCACCCCCACCCCCAGCCCCAAUCAUGUUUAAAGCUUCUUCCUCCAAAGCAGCAGCUACAAAUGCGCAGACUGACAGGAAUGGCAGCAGUUGCCUACCCUGGUGAGAUAAGCCUGUGCGAACGCCAGGUCCUUCUGCUCCCUGAGUGGGUCCCGGUCGAGAAUGUCCUCAUCAUACAGCAACAGCAGCUUGGAGGUGUCCUUGCUGGCCCGAGCCCGACUUCCCCGUUUGUUUCGAGCCCGAUGACUGCUCCGUCCCUUUCCAGCAGCUUUGAUGCUCUCCCCUUGGAGUAGUGAAAAAGAUUCCUUCUCAAUCCCUGAAACUGUGCUAUCCAGCGUAAAGGCCACCCCGUGCACUCCGACUAAUAUCACGGCACAGCUAGGGAAGAAUAGCUAGGUCAGCAGCAGAGCCAGCCUCCAGGACAGCACCAGCACUGCGCAGUGCACCACACGCCCUUCAACAGUGUCCGGGACGCAAGCUGACCAGGAGUUCUGCAGCUGAGAAAGGAGUCCAAGGCUGGGAAGGGGGAGAGGUGGCCUAACAGAAAUACCACCUGAGCUACCUAAAAACGACAGAAGAGAAGUUGAAGGAGGAACAUGAAGGCCAAACAGCUCUUAGCCUCAGGCACACAAGAGGCAAGCCUCAGGCACACAAGAGGCAAGAACCACGGAAAAAACACAGGGCAACCUAGUGUAAACCGGGUGUUGAUGAGGAUUUAAGGCUCUGCAGAGGGGCGGUUCUCGUCUGUCUGGGGAAGGAAGAGAAGCUCCAGGUGACAAAGCGCACUCUGCACUCUGUCUCUGGGCAAUGCAGCUUGGAGAGCUGCUGCACUUACCUGCGGGGGCUAUGCUGGUCUCUAUUUCUGGAGCAGUCUGAGGUGAGGCCAAGGUAGAAGGGGGUUUCUUGGCAGCAUCUCCAACGGCUUCAUCGUUCACUUCAUCCUCUUUUUGCAAGGUUUCCAUUCCUUCUGCCUCUUCUUCCUCCUCUUCUUCUGGCUCAGAGUUCUCCUCCUGGGAGUUCUCUUCCUCAGACUCACCCUCCUGACUCAUCCUCCUUUCAGAUGCCAGCCAAGUCAGUUUCUCCAUUGUUUCCUAAAAGCACCAUUUUGUUGAGGUUUUGUCUGCUGCUAUGCAUGGAAUGAUAAAAUGUGUACCAGAAGGUCUACUUAUGAGUGAUUUCUCCUGCAUGCCAUCUUUUGUUGUGCAAACCUUGUUCCUUAAUUUAAAGAUACUGGUUGAAUAAAAAUGGCUACAACCAUUAGCAGAGGGAUUAGACAUGGGCAGGCUUUUUAGUUACCUGCUGGUGCAUGGCAGAAAAGCCAAGACAAAGAAAAUGAGGAAGAGGAGAGAGGAGCGGAACCAUGAGCACACGGCCAAGAGAAACAGCAAGUCUUUGGGGAACACCGCGGGGCAGGCAGCCAGGCCAGCAGGUAGGAAAGUAGAUUGGGGGGGACCCCAGUAAUUAUCAAAGCCAAAUACACUAAACAAAGUCUGGGUCUCACUCUUUUGUAAGGAAGUCAGGAUUGGAUUAAACUGGUUGUACUACACCGAAAAUGUUUCCAAGGGCUCCUUGCAGCUCCCAGAAGCUGAAGUACAGCAGCAGCAGCAUAAGGCACAGAGGCAGAGCAGGGCCAACACUGAGAACCAGAGAAGCCUGAGGUCCUGAGGACAGCUUUGCUUAGCAACUUUUUUAAGUACACGUGCUACAUUGCUUUGCUUUGGUUCGGUUCGGUUCGGUUCGCUUCGGUUUGGUUUGGUUUUUCAAGACAAGAUUACUUUGGCUGUCCUGGAACUCACUCUUUGGUUUGGUUUGGUUUGGUUUGGUUUGGUUUGGUUUGGUUUUUCAAGACAAGAUUACUUUGGCUGUCCUGGAACUCACUCUAAAGACCAGGCUGGCCUGGAACAGAGAUCUGCCUGCCUUUGCCUCACAAGUGCUGGGACUUGAUGUGCAACACCAUACCCGACAGUACACUAGCUCUACUGUUUAGCUAUUCCUCAAUUCUUAUGACUAUUUAAAAUUAUUUUUAAUUAUUACUGUAUAAUUUUAAAGUUUUGCCUGUGUGUAGAUCUGUGCACCACAUGCCUGCAAAAGGCAUCAAAUUCCCUUCAACGGAGUUACUAUGGGUCGUGAGCAGCCAUGUGGGUGCUGAGACUUAAGCCUACAUGUGCUGGAAGAACAAGUGACCCUAACUGAAGAACCAUCUCUCCGGGAUUUAUGGGCUAUUCUUUUUAAAGUCACACUUGCUGAUGGCUGUGCUGUGUACAAGCCCCGAGGAACAUGUAUGCCAUGGCACUCGGGACGGGUCCCUGGAAAAUUCAUGAUAGUCAGUCUCUUUAUUACGAUGUGCUACUUGAGUGAGCAACAGAUAACCUCACCCGUAGCCUCGUUGCCAUGAAGGGUUUUUGCUUGCUUCUUUAUUUGUUUUUGUGGCAUGUAAUGUAUGUUCUAGGCAGUCAGUGAGGCGACUCAACAGGUAUAGACACCUGCUGUCCAGUCUGACCACAGAGCUCAGCUCCUGGGACCCACAUGAUGGAAGGAAAUAGCCACGUGUCCUGGUCCUCUGACCUCUGCAUAUGUCAUCGCAAGGACUCACCUACAAAUUAAUGAAUGGCAUAAAACAUUU
RNAcentral lists this long non-coding RNA (3689 nucleotides) under Mus musculus (house mouse). RNAcentral describes it as "RIKEN cDNA 1500004A13 gene (1500004A13Rik)". Lineage: Eukaryota; Metazoa; Chordata; Mammalia; Rodentia; Muridae. The record is from RNAcentral.